RNAcentral lists this ribosomal RNA (576 nucleotides) under Ascomycota sp. LM4788. RNAcentral describes it as "eukaryotic LSU rRNA". The stretch from base 203 to 356 matches the Rfam family "5.8S ribosomal RNA". The record is from RNAcentral. Lineage: Eukaryota; Fungi; Ascomycota.
CAUUACCGAGUAAGGGCUUUACCAAAGCCCGAUCUCCCAACCCUUGUAUUCUGUACCACUUUGCUUUGGCGGGCCCGUCACUAGUGACCGCUGAAGGAUUUUAGCUUAAGUUACUAACUAUAAACCUUGGGCCUGUGUCCGCCAAGGAACCUAAAUACGUGUUAUAAAACCAGUUUGUCUGAGAAUCAAAGAAAAUAACCAAAACUUUCAACAACGGAUCUCUUGGUUCUGGCAUCGAUGAAGAACGCAGCGAAAUGCGACAAGUAAUGUGAAUUGCAAAAUUCCGUGAAUCAUCGAAUCUUUGAACGCACAUUGCGCCCUCUGGUAUUCUGGAGGGCAUGCCUGUCCGAGCGUCAUUGCUAUACCUCAAGCCCAGCUCUGUGUUGGACUCCCUGUCUUGUUGGACAGUAGUCCCAAAGGCAGUGGCAGGGUCGUAGUCCGGUCUUUUCAAUGCGUAUGGGGCAUUGUCACCCGCUUGAAAGCUGGCCGGCCCUUUUCAGCCUAUACAAAUCUUUUUUUUUCUGAUGGACCUCGGAUCAGGAAGGGAUACCCGCUGAACUUAAGCAUAUCAAUAAG